Molecule: ribosomal RNA, 160 nt
Filed under: uncultured bacterium
Lineage: Bacteria
Description: partial 16S ribosomal RNA
Rfam family: Bacterial small subunit ribosomal RNA
Source: RNAcentral
UCGCGGAUCAGCAUGCCGCGGUGAAUACGUUCCCUGGCCUUGUACACACCGCCCGUCACACCAUGGGAGCCGGUAAUACCCGAAGUCAGUAGCCUAACCGCAAGGGGGGGCGCUGCCGAAGGUAGGAUUGGCGACUGGGGUGAAGUCGUAACAAGGUAGC